GGGCCUACGGGGCGCAGCAGUGGGGAAUAUUGCACAAUGGGGGAAACCCUGAUGCAGCGACGCCGCGUGAGUGAAGAAGUAAUUCGUUAUGUAAAGCUCUAUCAGCAGGGAAGAAAAUGACGGUACCUGAGUAAGAAGCCCCGGCUAACUACGUGCCAGCAGCCGCGGUAAUACGUAGGGGGCAAGCGUUAUCCGGAUUUACUGGGUGUAAAGGGAGCGUAGACGGCGAUGCAAGUCUGAAGUGAAAGGCGGGGGCCCAACCCCCGGACUGCUUUGGAAACUGUAUGGCUGGAGUGCAGGAGAGG
Molecule: ribosomal RNA, 305 nt
Filed under: uncultured bacterium
Lineage: Bacteria
Description: bacterial SSU rRNA
Rfam family: Bacterial small subunit ribosomal RNA
Source: RNAcentral